Molecule: unclassified non-coding RNA, 175 nt
Rfam family: Metazoan signal recognition particle RNA
About the family: The signal recognition particle (SRP) is a universally conserved ribonucleoprotein. It is involved in the co-translational targeting of proteins to membranes.
Source: Ensembl
GCCGGGUGCAUUGGCGCUCGCCUGUGAUCCAAGUUACCGGGAGGCUGAGGCUGGUGGAUCGCUUGAGCUCAGGAGCUCUGGGCUGCAGCGCGCUAUGCCGAUCGGGUGUCCGCACUAAGUUCGGUAUGGACCUGGUGAUCCCGGGCUCCCCCAGGAGCACCAUGUCCAUACCGAA